GACGAACCGUGCGAACGUUGUUCGGAAUCACUGGGCUUAAAGGGCGCGUAGGCGGCUUGCCAAGUCAGUGGUGAAAUCCCACAGCUUAACUGUGGAAGUGCCUUUGAUACUGGCGAGCUCGAGGGAGGUAGGGGUAUGUGGAACUUCUGGUGGAGCGGUGGAAUGCGUUGAUAUCAGAAGGAACGCCGGUGGCGAAAGCGACGUACUGGACCUCUUCUGACGCUGAGGCGCGAAAGCUAGGGGAGCAAACGGG
RNAcentral lists this ribosomal RNA (253 nucleotides) under uncultured bacterium. RNAcentral's name for it is "partial 16S ribosomal RNA". It matches the Rfam family "Bacterial small subunit ribosomal RNA", at positions 524 to 776 of the family's 1533-position model. The record is from RNAcentral.